ACCCUGCAGUUCCCUUUCCCAUUGGAUCAAAACACUGGUCUGGGUGGUGGUAAAAGGAGGAAAAGAAACAUUGAAGCUGGCCUUCGGUGCUCUUGGAGCUCAGCUAGUUUCAAACAAGG
Small nucleolar RNA from Echinops telfairi (small Madagascar hedgehog), 119 nucleotides. Lineage: Eukaryota; Metazoa; Chordata; Mammalia; Afrosoricida; Tenrecidae. The record is from Ensembl.